Molecule: small nuclear RNA, 89 nt
Filed under: Microcebus murinus (gray mouse lemur)
Lineage: Eukaryota; Metazoa; Chordata; Mammalia; Primates; Cheirogaleidae
Description: U5 spliceosomal RNA (ENSMICG00000025204.3)
Rfam family: U5 spliceosomal RNA
About the family: U5 RNA is a component of both types of known spliceosome.
Source: RNAcentral
AUACUCUGGUUUCUCUUCAGAACAAAAAAAUCUUUCACCUUUUACUAAAGAUUUCUAUGGAAAAGGACAGUUAUGAGUUGGUAAAGUGC